RNAcentral lists this ribosomal RNA (270 nucleotides) under Giardia sp. 5740_B1. RNAcentral's name for it is "partial small subunit ribosomal RNA". The record is from RNAcentral. Lineage: Eukaryota; Fornicata; Diplomonadida; Hexamitidae.
AUCCGGAAUCCGACGCUCUCCCCAAGGACACAAGCCAUGCAUGCCCGCGCACCCGGGAGGCGGCGGACGGCUCAGGACAACGGUUGCACCCCCCGCGGCGGUCCCUGCUAGCCGGACACCGCUGGCAACCCGGCGCCAAGACGUGCGCGCAAGGGCGGGCGCCCGCGGGCGAGCAGCGUGACGCAGCGACGGCCCGCCCGGGCUCCGGGGCAUCACCCGGUCGGCGCGGUCGCGGCGCGCCGAGGGCCCGACGCCCGGGCGGAACGGGGG